GUUAAAAAGCUCGUAGUUGGAGUUCUGCCAGGUGCCGCUUGUCCGCCCCAGUGGUGAGUACGUGGCGCGCAUUUGGCCCUUUCAAGGGGAGCGUAUCUGCACUUUACUGUGUGGUGCGGGAUCCUUGACUUUUACUUUGAGGAAAUAGGAGUGUUCCAAGCAGGCUCUCGUCGUGCACAGCUCAGCAUGGAAUAAAAGCAUUGGACCUCGAUUCUAAGCUGUUGGUUGCCAGAAGCGAGGUAAUGAUGAAGAGGGAUAGUUGGGGGCAUUCGUAUUUAACUGUCAGGGGUGAAAUUCUUGGAUUUGUUAAAGACGGACUACUGCGAAAGCAUCUGCCAUGGAUGUUUUCAUUGAUCAAGAACGAAAGUUAGGGGACCGAAGACGAUCAGAUACCGUCCUAGUCUUAACUAUAAACCAUGCCGGCUAGAGAUCGGAGGUUGUUCGUUUUGUGACGCCUUCAGCAUCUUGAGAGAAAUCAAAGCCUUUGGGUUCCGGGGGGAGUAUGGUCGCAAGGCUGAAACUUAAAGGAAUUGACGGAAGGGCACCACCAGGAGUGGAGCCUGCGGCUUAAUUUGACUCAACACGGGGAAACUUACCAGGUCCAGACUGGGUAAGGAUGUACAGAUUGAUAGCUCUUUACAGAUUCUCAGGGUGGUGGUGCAUGGCCGUUCUUAGUUGGUGGAGUGAUUUGUCUGGUUAAUUCCGUUAAC
This 710-nucleotide ribosomal RNA is filed under the name uncultured marine alveolate. Its description in RNAcentral is "SSU rRNA". It matches the Rfam family "Eukaryotic small subunit ribosomal RNA", at positions 618 to 1332 of the family's 1831-position model. The record is from RNAcentral.